CCAUCCCUCUCUCCAUCCCUCUAUAUAUCCCUCUAUAUAUCCCUCUCUCCACCCCUCUCUCCCUCCCUAUCCCUCUCCAUUCCUCUUUUCAAUAGCUCUCUGUCCAGAAAGAGAGAGAACGGUUGCAUUUUCUGCUCAAGUGUUGUUCUUACACACAGAGGUCUACUGUAGGAGAGUUGAUGACACACAGAGGUCUACUGUAGGAGAGUUGAUGACACACAGAGACCUACUGUGAGAGUUGAUGACACACAGAGACCUACUGUAGGAGAGUUGAUGACACACAGAGACCUGCUGUAGGAGAGUUGAUGACACACAGAGACCUACUGUAGGAGAGUUGAUGACACACAGAGACCUACUGUGAGAGUUGAUGACACACAGAGACCUACUGUAGGAGAGUUGAUGACACACAGAGACCUACUGUAGGAGAGUUGAUGACACACAGAGACCUGCUGUAGGAGAGUUGAUGACACACAGAGACCUACUGUGAGAGUUGAUGACACACAGAGACCUACUGUAGGAGAGUUGAUGACACACAGAGACCUACUGUAGGAGAGUUGAUGACACACAGAGACCUACUGUAGGAGAGUUGAUGACACACAGAGACCUACUGUAGGAGAGUUGAUGACACACAGAGACCUACUGUAGGAGAGUUGAUAACACACAGAGACCUACUGUAGGAGAGUUGAUAACACACAGAGACCUACUGUAGAAGAGUUGAUGACACACAGAGACCUACUGUAGGAGAGUUGAUAACACACAGAGACCUACUGUAGGAGAGUUGAUAACACACAGAGACCUACUGUAGGAGAGUUGAUAACACACAGAGACCUACUGUAGGAGAGUUGAUAACACACAGAGACCUACUGUAGGAGAGUUGAUAACACACAGAGACCUACUGUAGGAGAGUUGAUAACACACAGAGACCUACUGUAGAAGAGUUGAUGACACACAGAGACCUACUGUAGGAGAGUUGAUAACACACAGAGACCUACUGUGAGAGUUGAUAACACACAGAGACCUACUGUAGGAGAGUUGAUAACACACAGAGACCCACUGUAGGAGAGUUGAUAACACACAGAGACCUACUGUAGGAGAGUUUAUAACACACAGAGACCUACUGUAGGAGAGUUGAUGACACACAGAGGUCUACUGUAGGAGAGUUGAUGACACACAGAGACCUACUGUGAGAGUUGAUGACACACAGAGACCUACUGUAGGAGAGUUGAUGACACACAGAGACCUGCUGUAGGAGAGUUGAUGACACACAGAGACCUACUGUAGGAGAGUUGAUGACACACAGAGACCUACUGUGAGAGUUGAUGACACAGAGACCUUCUGUAGGAGAGUUGAUGACACACAGAGACCUACUGUAGGAGAGUUGAUGAAACACAGAGACCUACUGUAGGAGAGUUGAUAACACACAGAGACC
Long non-coding RNA from Oncorhynchus tshawytscha (Chinook salmon), 1429 nucleotides. RefSeq lists it as uncharacterized. Lineage: Eukaryota; Metazoa; Chordata; Actinopteri; Salmoniformes; Salmonidae. The transcript is spliced from 2 exons. The record is from RefSeq and is a predicted model, not a curated record.